AUGCCAUGCUUCCGCCUACCAAGGGGAGUGUGUGAUGAUGUGACCUCCCUCAUCCGUCAGUUUUGGUGGGGCAGUAAGAGAGGAAAGAGGAAAGCAACAUGGGUUGCUUGGGAUGUGAUGAUCAGACCUAAGUACGGGGGUAUGGGAUUCAGAGAUUUGGAGUUGUUUAACUUGGCAUUAUUAGCACGGCAGGCAUGGAGAGUUUUGGUUGAUGAUGAUUCACUAAGUGCACAAAUACUCAAGGCGGCCUACUACCCGAAUUGCUCUUUGCUUGAUGCAGAUCGACCUCAUCCGUCUCAGAUUUGGAGGGCCAUAAUUGAUGGGCGGGAUGUGCUUGCUCAAGGAAUAAUUCACAGAAUUGGAGACGGAGAGACCACCAACAUUUGGCACCAUAACAAGAUACCGAGACCCAGUUUUCAGCGGCCGAUUACUUCUCUACUGCCGGUUCCACCACAACAAGUGUCCGAGCUGAUAGACACAACCACAACUUCUUGGCAGGAAGGACUGGUGAGAGCAGUAUUCACUCCUUUCGACGCGGAAGAAAUUCUGAAGAUUCCCCUUUGCACUAGACGUGUAGAGGAUUUUUGGGCUUGGAGCAAGACCCCCUGGGGGACUUUCACAGUAGGCUCGGCUUACCGUAUGCUUGUGACAAUGAAAAUCAGUAGAUAA
RNAcentral lists this ribosomal RNA (669 nucleotides) under Triticum aestivum (bread wheat). RNAcentral describes it as "partial small subunit ribosomal RNA". Lineage: Eukaryota; Viridiplantae; Streptophyta; Magnoliopsida; Poales; Poaceae. The record is from RNAcentral.